AACGAACGCUGGCGGCAGGCUUAACACAUGCAAGUCGAACGCCCCGCAAGGGGAGUGGCAGACGGGUGAGUAACGCGUGGGAAUCUACCCAAUUCUACGGAACAACUGAGGGAAACUUCAGCUAAUACCGUAUACGCCCUACGGGGGAAAGAUUUAUCGGAAUUGGAUGAGCCCGCGUUGGAUUAGCUAGUUGGUGGGGUAAUGGCCUACCAAGGCGACGAUCCAUAGCUGGUCUGAGAGGAUGAUCAGCCACACUGGGACUGAGACACGGCCCAGACUCCUACGGGAGGCAGCAGUGGGGAAUAUUGGACAAUGGGCGAAAGCCUGAUCCAGCCAUGCCGCGUGAGUGAUGAAGGCCUUAGGGUUGUAAAGCUCUUUCAGUGGGGAAGAUAAUGACGGUACCCACAGAAGAAGCCCCGGCUAACUUCGUGCCAGCCGCCGCCGUAA
RNAcentral lists this ribosomal RNA (447 nucleotides) under uncultured bacterium. RNAcentral describes it as "partial 16S ribosomal RNA". It matches the Rfam family "Bacterial small subunit ribosomal RNA", at positions 29 to 523 of the family's 1533-position model. The record is from RNAcentral.